GUGCUUGCUCAGGCAGUACGUGUGCUCAAACCGGACCGGUACAGAGAAGAUUGGCUUGGCCCCGUGUAAGGAUGACACGAAUUUGUGACAUAGUCCGUUUUUGU
Choloepus didactylus (southern two-toed sloth) is the source of this 104-nucleotide small nuclear RNA. Lineage: Eukaryota; Metazoa; Chordata; Mammalia; Pilosa; Megalonychidae. The record is from RefSeq and is a predicted model, not a curated record.